RNAcentral lists this ribosomal RNA (462 nucleotides) under uncultured bacterium. Its description in RNAcentral is "bacterial SSU rRNA". It matches the Rfam family "Bacterial small subunit ribosomal RNA", at positions 30 to 518 of the family's 1533-position model. The record is from RNAcentral.
CGAACGCUGGCGGCAUGGAUUAGGCAUGCAAGUUGAACGAACUCCUUCGGGAGUGAGUAGCGGAAGGGUGAGGAACGCGUGAGUAAUCUGCCCCCCAGUUGGGAAUAACAGUUGGAAACGACUGCUAAUACCGAAUGUGGCUUAAGCUUCGCCUGGAGCUUUGGCUAAAGAUUUAUCGCUGGGGGAUGAGCUCGCGUCCCAUUAGGUAGUUGGUGAGGUAACGGCUCACCAAGCCGACGAUGGGUAGCUGGUCUGAGAGGAUGGUCAGCCACACUGGGACUGAGACACUGCCCAGACUCCUACGGGAGGCUGCAGUCGAGAAUCUUGGGCAAUGCGCGAAAGCGUGACCCAGCAAUGCCGCGUGUAUGAUGAAGGCCCUCGGGUCGUAAAGUACUGUCUCCCGUGACGAAAUUUGACGGUAGCGGGGAAGGAAGCCACGGCUAACUACGUGCCAGCCGCGGC